UGGCCUUGACAUUGAUAGAAUCCCGCAGAGAUGCAGGAGUGCCUUUCGGGGAACUUGAAAACAGGUGCUGCACGGCUGUCGUCAGCUCGUGUCGUGAGAUGUUGGGUUAAGUCCCGCAACGAGCGCAACCCUCGUCACUAGUUACUAACGGUUCGGCCGAGGACUCUAGUGAGACUGCCUUCGUAAGGAGGAGGAAGGUGAGGACGACGUCAAGUCAUCAUGGCCCUUACGGCCAGGGCGACACACGUGCUACAAUGGGGAGGACAGUGAGACGCAAUACCGCGAGGUGGAGCAAAUCUAUAAACCUUCUCUCAGUUCGGAUAGAUCUCUGCAACUCGAGAUCUUGAAGCUGGAAUCACUAGUAAUCGUAGAUCAGCCAUGCUACGGUGAAUACGUUCCCGGGUCU
Molecule: ribosomal RNA, 406 nt
Filed under: uncultured bacterium
Lineage: Bacteria
Description: bacterial SSU rRNA
Rfam family: Bacterial small subunit ribosomal RNA
Source: RNAcentral